AUCUAUGGCUAGCCCACCCUGAAUGCACCUGAUCUCCUCUGAUAUUGGAAGCUAAGCAGGGUUGGUCCUGGUUAGUACUUGGAAGAGAGAAAUGGGUUGAAUCUGAUUUAAAAAAAAUGUUUUCAGGAGGCUAGGUA
This 137-nucleotide ribosomal RNA is filed under the name Castor canadensis (American beaver). Lineage: Eukaryota; Metazoa; Chordata; Mammalia; Rodentia; Castoridae. The record is from RNAcentral.